GAUGAACGCUGGCGGCGUGCUUAACACAUGCAAGUCGAACGAGCCUUCGGGCUAGUGGCGGACGGGUGAGUAACGCGUGGGAAUCUGCCCUCAGGAGGGGGAUAACGGCCGGAAACGGCCGCUAAUACCCCAUAUGCCGAGAGGUGAAAUGAAUUUCGCCUGAGGAUGAGCCCGCGUCUGAUUAGCUAGUUGGUGUGGUAAUGGCGCACCAAGGCGACGAUCAGUAGCUGGUCUGAGAGGAUGAUCAGCCACACUGGGACUGAGACACGGCCCAGACUCCUACGGGAGGCAGCAGUGGGGAAUUUUCCGCAAUGGGCGAAAGCCUGACGGAGCAACGCCGCGUGAGGGAUGAAGGCCUCUGGGCUGUAAACCUCUUUUCUCAAGGAAGAAGACAUGACGGUACUUGAGGAAUAAGCCACGGCUAAUUCUGUGCCAGCAGCCGCGGUAAUACGGGAGUGGCAAGCGUUAUCCGGAAUUAUUGGGCGUAAAGCGUCCGCAGGCGGCCUUGUAAGUCUGUCGUUAAAGCGUGGAGCUUAACUCCAUUUAAGCGAUGGAAACUACAAGGCUUGAGUGUGGUAGGGGCAGAGGGAAUUCCCGGUGUAGCGGUGAAAUGCGUAGAUAUCGGGAAGAACACCAGUGGCGAAGGCGCUCUGCUGGGCCAUAACUGACGCUCAUGGACGAAAGCCAGGGGAGCGAAAGGGAUUAGAUACCCCUGUAGUCCUGGCCGUAAACGAUGAACACUAGGUGUCGGGGGAAUCGACCCCCUCGGUGUCGUAGCUAACGCGUUAAGUGUUCCGCCUGGGGAGUACGCACGCAAGUGUGAAACUCAAAGGAAUUGACGGGGGCCCGCACAAGCGGUGGAGUAUGUGGUUUAAUUCGAUGCAACGCGAAGAACCUUACCAGGGUUUGACAUCCUGCGAAUCCCUUGGAAACGAGGGAGUGCCUUCGGGAGCGCAGAGACAGGUGGUGCAUGGCUGUCGUCAGCUCGUGUCGUGAGAUGUUGGGUUAAGUCCCGCAACGAGCGCAACCCACGUCUUUAGUUGCCAGCAUUCAGUUGGGCACUCUAGAGAGACCGCCGGUGAUAAACCGGAGGAAGGUGUGGAUGACGUCAAGUCAUCAUGCCCCUUACAUCCUGGGCUACACACGUACUACAAUGCUACGGACAAAGGGUUGCAAGCUCGCGAGAGUUAGCUAAUCCCAUAAACCGUGGCUCAGUUCAGAUCGUAGGCUGCAACUCGCCUACGUGAAGGAGGAAUCGCUAGUAAUCGCAGGUCAGCAUACUGCGGUGAAUACGUUCCCGGGCCUUGUACACACCGCCCGUCACACCAUGGAAGUUGGCCAUGCCCGAAGUCGUUACUCCAACCCUUGUGGAGGAGGACGCCGAAGGUGGGGCUGAUGACUGGGGUGAA
Molecule: ribosomal RNA, 1409 nt
Filed under: Cyanobium sp. CENA118
Lineage: Bacteria; Bacillati; Cyanobacteriota; Cyanophyceae; Synechococcales; Prochlorococcaceae
Description: bacterial SSU rRNA
Rfam family: Bacterial small subunit ribosomal RNA
Source: RNAcentral